RNAcentral lists this long non-coding RNA (302 nucleotides) under Equus caballus (horse). RNAcentral describes it as "lncRNA (ENSECAG00000057147.1)". Lineage: Eukaryota; Metazoa; Chordata; Mammalia; Perissodactyla; Equidae. The record is from RNAcentral.
GCUCUUUAGAGCCAAGUUGUGUGACACCUGAGAAAAUUCCCUUCACCUUCUUUUUGGACCCAAAGUGGUGCGGCCGUGUGGGAACAUCUGCCUCGUGGCCGUGGAUCAAAUGUUAGCCAAUUUUUUAAAAAAAUCAAUCUAGCCCUCAGGCUAUCCCCAGGAAUGGCUGCAGGUUCACAGGUUCUGAAGGUUGUUUCCGACAAGAUGCUCCACCUACAGUUUCUGCAGAAAACCAAGUCUCCUCUGGACCUUUCUCCACAUGGUAGCGGCAAUGGUCUCUUAAAGAUAUAAAUCAGACCUGG